Molecule: small RNA, 582 nt
Filed under: Pan troglodytes (chimpanzee)
Lineage: Eukaryota; Metazoa; Chordata; Mammalia; Primates; Hominidae
Description: processed transcript
Source: RNAcentral
CUCUUUCGCUGUUUGAGAGUCUCUCGGCUCAAGGGCCGGGAGGUAAGAGGUUUGGGACUGCCCCGGCGACUCCAGGGUGUCUGGUCCACGACCUAUCCUAGGCGCCAUGUUUGAGGUGGUAUCAACAUCCUACAGAAGAAGAAUUAAGAAUUCUUGCAGGGAAACAACAAAAAGGGAAAACCAAAAAAGAUAGCAUUGCAUUACUUUCCAGAAUACCAGUGGCUGGUGGAUUUCACAGUGGCUGCUACAGUUGUGUAUCUAGUAACUGAAGUCUACUACAAUUUUAUGAAGCCUACACAGGAAAUGAAUAUCAGCUUAGUCUGGUGCCUGCUUGUUUUGUCUUUUGCAAUCAAAGUUCUAUUUUCAUUAACUACACACUAUUUUAAAGUAGAAGAUGGUGGUGAAAGAUCUGUUUGUGUCACCUUUGGGUUUUUUUUCUUUGUCAAAGCAAUGGCAGUGUUGAUUGUAACAGAAAAUUAUCUGGAAUUUGGACUUGAAACAGGGUUUACAAAUUUUUCAGACAGUGCGAUGCAGUUUCUUGAAAAGCAAGGUUUAGAAUCUCAGUAAGUUUUUGAAAAAUUA